RNAcentral lists this ribosomal RNA (464 nucleotides) under Streptococcus mitis. RNAcentral's name for it is "bacterial SSU rRNA". It matches the Rfam family "Bacterial small subunit ribosomal RNA", at positions 28 to 475 of the family's 1533-position model. Lineage: Bacteria; Bacillati; Bacillota; Bacilli; Lactobacillales; Streptococcaceae. The record is from RNAcentral.
GACGAACGCUGGCGGCGUGCCUAAUACAUGCAAGUAGAACGCUGAAGGAGGAGCUUGCUUCUCUGGAUGAGUUGCGAACGGGUGAGUAACGCGUAGGUAACCUGCCUGGUAGCGGGGGAUAACUAUUGGAAACGAUAGCUAAUACCGCAUAAUAGCAGUUAUUGCAUGAUAACUGUUUGAAAGGUGCAAUUGCACCACUACCAGAUGGACCUGCGUUGUAUUAGCUAGUUGGUGGGGUAACGGCUCACCAAGGCGACGAUACAUAGCCGACCUGAGAGGGUGAUCGGCCACACUGGGACUGAGACACGGCCCAGACUCCUACGGGAGGCAGCAGUAGGGAAUCUUCGGCAAUGGACGGAAGUCUGACCGAGCAACGCCGCGUGAGUGAAGAAGGUUUUCGGAUCGUAAAGCUCUGUUGUAAGAGAAGAACGAGUGUGAGAGUGGAAAAGUUCACACUGUGACGG